Molecule: ribosomal RNA, 589 nt
Filed under: uncultured fungus
Lineage: Eukaryota; Fungi
Description: eukaryotic LSU rRNA
Rfam family: 5.8S ribosomal RNA (bases 225-378)
Source: RNAcentral
CUUGGUCAUUUAGAGGAAGUAAAAGUCGUAACAAGGUCUCCGUAGGUGAACCUGCGGAGGGAUCAUUACAAGUGACCCCGGUCUAACCACCGGGAUGUUCAUAACCCUUUGUUGUCCGACUCUGUUGCCUCCGGGGCGACCCUGCCUUCGGGCGGGGGCUCCGGGUGGACACUUCAAACUCUUGCGUAACUUUGCAGUCUGAGUAAACUUAAUUAAUAAAUUAAAACUUUUAACAACGGAUCUCUUGGUUCUGGCAUCGAUGAAGAACGCAGCGAAAUGCGAUAAGUAAUGUGAAUUGCAGAAUUCAGUGAAUCAUCGAAUCUUUGAACGCACAUUGCGCCCCCUGGUAUUCCGGGGGGCAUGCCUGUUCGAGCGUCAUUUCACCACUCAAGCCUCGCUUGGUAUUGGGCAUCGCGGUCCGCCGCGUGCCUCAAAUCGACCGGCUGGGUCUUCUGUCCCCUAAGCGUUGUGGAAACUAUUCGCUAAAGGGUGUUCGGGAGGCUACGCCGUAAAACAACCCCAUUUCUAAGGUUGACCUCGGAUCAGGUAGGGAUUCCCGCUGAACUUAAGCAUAUCAAUAAGCGGAGGA